Long non-coding RNA from Myotis davidii, 91 nucleotides. RefSeq lists it as uncharacterized. The transcript is spliced from 4 exons. Lineage: Eukaryota; Metazoa; Chordata; Mammalia; Chiroptera; Vespertilionidae. The record is from RefSeq and is a predicted model, not a curated record.
GUGCUUUUUUAAAACUUUAUUUUCCAGAUAAGGAGAGGUAGACUCAGGGUCUGAAUCCACAAUUGUCUGGAGCAGCUGGUCUCAGCCUGUG